GCCGCCUAAGGUGGGACAGAUGAUUGGGGUGAAGUCGUAACAAGGUAGCCGUAUCGGAAGGUGCGGCUGGAUCACCUCCUUU
This 82-nucleotide non-coding RNA is filed under the name Priestia megaterium. RNAcentral's name for it is "partial 16S ribosomal RNA". It matches the Rfam family "Bacterial small subunit ribosomal RNA", at positions 1452 to 1533 of the family's 1533-position model. Lineage: Bacteria; Bacillati; Bacillota; Bacilli; Caryophanales; Bacillaceae. The record is from RNAcentral. RNAcentral also lists the same sequence under 7 other names.